GUAAUACAAUGAAGCUUAUCUAAAAAGAUCUUCGAGUUUAUCUUACAGUUUAAGGUUAAGAUUAUCAAAGAAAAGCUGUGACUCAGGUUGGCAACUAAAAACUAAAGGGUGAGUGAUUACUGCCCCUUUGAGACAUCGAAUCAAAGCUAGCACUAGAAUGUAAAGCACACUGGAUGACAGAUCUACUGUCAUUGUUUUUGUGUACUGUUUAAGUAGACAUUAAUCCAUAGGGUUGGUUUACUAUUGUAAAUAUGGCAUAUUAUAUGUAGUGUCCCCAGGACAUGCAGCAUCUCAUAUCUAUCAUGAGUAGAUGUGAAAGUAUGCAUUCGGCAUAUGAUCCAGCAUUUCUGAUUUUUGGUUUACAAUAAUUAGAUCAGUCAAGAUUUGGCUAAAGCUUUGGGGAACCACAGAAUCUGCAUUAUUUUGUUUUUAAUACAAGAGCAAAGGCGAGAACAGGUAAGAAACAAAGCCUUUGGCACCUAUCAGUCUGGAAAAGGUUACAAAGCCUUAUCUAAGGCUUUGGAAGGAAGGAGAAGAAGGAGACUAAAUAUAAAAUGUCCAUGGGAGUGUUUCAAGGUGAAAACCACUACUGACCAAAAUGGAAACAUAAAGGCCCGUUUAAAAUUGGAUAAUUUCUGUCGUGUUACAUUGUGCAUAAAACUAACACAGCAUCUCAGAGCAAAAAUAUAUCGACAGACCAACAUCUUGGUGGUAGUGUAAUGGACUGGGACUGCUUGGAGCACAAUGCGCAAGACUCUUGUUUGACAACCUUGAUUCUGGUAUUUCUUCGGAUGCUACUUUGACACAUACCUCUAACAUUUUGCAGUAUAGACAUAGUGGCAGCAGCAUUCUCUGAAGGCAGAAGCCUGCUAUACAGAUCUGUGAAUGUUACACUGGCAUUCACCAUGGCUCUUACUUUUCAAGAAAUAAUCGAAACAAGCAAGUGAAAGCUGUGUAAAUUCGUGAAAGCAAGAUAGAGAUAACAUCUGAGUUGCUCUAACGGUUCCUAAGUGUGAUGAAGGCUACUACAGAAUAAACAGGGAAAUGUAGUUACCUUAAAUGAAUACACACUUCAAGAGACAGACAUCUAUAGCCACAACCUAUCAUUAUGCCCAGCGGUCAGUCAAUAAUUCAGCAGACUCUCGAGACUAAAUGAAGUGAGCAUUAUUAUCUCUCAAGGGCUUUAAGUACUUUAAAUGGACUGACUGCUGGAGGUAAGACCACAUACAUUGUAUUCCUGUGGAGUAAAGGAAACACCUUCAGACCCGAAGGAUACACAGUUGAAGUAAAAUUCACAUUUAUACAUCUUCCAAUCUACUUUUAGCUAUUUAACAUUACAUUUGCACAUAAUUUUCUCAGUAGUUCAGCAUAUUGGCAGACAUCUAGACAUCUAGCUGGUGGCCUUCUAGUUUGGGAAGCUAAUACCCUCACAUACAAAUAUGCAAACUGGACCAAGUUUCACCAUGUUGAAGAACCUAUAGCCAGUCUCUGAUUGUAGAUAACCUGAAAAGCUUAUGGUAAUAUCUUUUUUUCACCUUGGUCUGACUGUAAGAAAGCAAAUCACCUUAAAUUCACAGUUCAUUGGCUUGAGGAUCAUCAAGAUGUUUUUUUUUUUUUUUUUUGACAAAUUUGAGGUGGGCCUUUGUGCUCUUUUUAAUCAACCUGUUUUUGCCUGUGGGUUUUUGGCCAGUUCCACCAUUGUUCCAUGUUUUGUCUAUUUGUGGAUAAUGACUUACACUGCUGGUGACGUAUUCACGGUGGUUUGUGUACAGGUUGUGUGCAAGCUGCAUGCAGGCUGUGUUUUUGUGUGCUGUGUUCUCUCUAUGCAGGGUGUGACUGGCAGGUGCUGCUGGACAGGUGCUGCUCAUCUGACAGCAAUCAGCUGGGCUACUUAUGGAGUGGAAACCCAGAAGGCAGCGUCAGCUCAUUUUCUCACUUGGUCACCCUUCGCUGAAGGAAGUCGUGGAACCUUUCUGGUCUCCGUUUUCACUCGUGUCAUGUUCAGGGGAGUUUGGGAACUGCAGCCUUGACACUUCAGCCCUGAGCCUCCUCUCUGUUUCCAACUCCAAGCCCAGCUUCUCAAGAGCCACUUGAGAACCACCCAUCAACCUGCCUGUCCACCCUCCAACAUUAAAACUCUCAAACCAUAGUGGAGUUUCCUGGAAGAGAAGAAACGAAGCACUUCAUCCUCAGAAAACUGUUCACAGCCUGUCAGCCUCAAGCCACUGUGGAGAAGGACUUAUUUCCCCCUGGUCUUUCCAAGAGCUUAACCCCUGUUUUUGCUGAACUGACUGUGACAGCUCUUUAUCUCUUUAUGGUGAAUAAUGUUAAAAUCCUCCGGUGUCAGCAAUACACCAUAAGAAGCUCUUAACAUCAUUCCUGUAAGGCUGCAAGUUGGUCUCCACAUGCAGAUUUACUCGUACUCGUAGUCUUCCGCUUUAUCCGGGACCGGGUCGUGGGGGCAGCAGACUCAGCAGAGACGCCCAGACGUCCCUCUCCCCAGACACCUCUUCCAGCUCCUCCGGGAGCAGAUUUAUGGUCCUAUAUUGCCAUCUGGUGUUGAUCAGCACACAACUAACAUGUCCUUCAGAUGAAAAAGAUAUACCAAUCUUCUUAAAGCUUGCUUUUUCUUUCAAUGACUAUUUCUAAUUUUCUUUGGCUGCUUCUGCCUCCCUGUAUCUUAUUUUUCAGCAUUUUUCCUUUAUUUUCAUUUAUCUAAAACCGUUUCAUCGUAUCUUUUCCCUUAAGUUAUCUGCCAGACAUGUUCUGUCAUUAAUCCAGGGAAAAACAAAUUACUGCAACAUUCUUUCAACUUGUUUCAGAAAUGUAUCUUCAUUUUGUCUUUUUUUCUGUCAUUAACUUCCCCCUCCCUCCUGGCUCUCACCUUUGUGAUUAAGUACUGCUUCGUCCUCCAUCUCAUCUAAUUCUGAACAUUAUUUAUCACUCACUUGGUGGCAAGGUGAUCCUAUUAAACUAUGAAUACAUUAUUUUCCAGAAAAAGAAGAUAAAAAUUCAAAGGAAGGAAUGCUUUUGAAGUGUCCUACAUAAAAGCCUUAAGUCACAUUUGUAGUCAUUUGCAUGCAGACAUUUGAACUCACAAGGACAGACUGCAGUAAAACUAAACCUGUCUUCAUUGCAAGCAGCUACCUGGUAUUGAUUGCUUUGCAGAGUUCACAACAUUAGUUGAAGAUCCUGCUAUAUGAUUGCAUUAAUGUGGCCCUCACAAAGAUACAAUUACAGUGUAUAGUCUUUUCUCAUUACUACCCAUCCUAAAUUGAUGUCUGAGGACAAAUGACUCUUAUAAAGGCUCAUUGACCUCACAUUUAAUUAACUAAUUAAUGAAUUUAUAUGCAGCAUUAGCAGAAUAACCUUAUGCAUGUAUCCAUACAACACCAGUACAUAAAACACACAAAGCAUUUUAUAGCAGCUACUUUGAGUCAGCUGAAUUUGCCCUCUCAUCAAUUUGAAUCCCUAUUUCAUACCCAGCUAAUGGGUAUUUUGGCCCAUCCUAAAGUGCUUGCAUUAAUAAUCAUGCACUUGAGUGUGGCGUAUCAGCUUAUUUGUUUUGGAAAUUAUGUAUUUUGAUAAAUUAUGAAGAAAAUAAAUCAUAAAUUUUUAAACAUAUUGUGGUUAAUUUUAAUUGAGCAUAAUUUCCCAGAGAUUUUAUAUUACAACCUGUUACGCUUGAUUCUGGUUCGGAUCCCUUUUUUAAUCCAGAUGACUAUUUUAAAACGCAUUAUAUCUUCAAAAGUAUUCCCUCGUCAACCGUCACAGUAAUACGAACUUGAGUAACAUCCCCUUCUUGAUCCAUAGGGUUUAUUAUAAUGUUGAAAGACAUACCAGCUUGUGGGAAGAUUUUCCAAAAGGUUCUGGAGUGUGUUUAUAGUAAUUUUUACAUGUUGGACGAGAAGGCCUGGCUCCCAGUCUCUGCUGUAAUUCCUCCAAACGGGUUGAGCAAAUGUCUCUGUUCAUGCCAGUCAAGGUUUUCCACACUAAGUUUAGUCAUUCAUGAUUAGACACUUCAUAGAACACAUCUCCCCUGCUCUAGAGUCCAGUGGCAGCCUGCCUUACUCUACUGUAUCUGAAAGUUUGCGUUUCACGUGGUAAUAGAAGGCUUAGAUGCUUCUGCCCAGCCAUGGAAACUCAUUCCAUGAAGCACCCUGCAUUGUUCGUGACCUAUGCUGAAAGCCACAUAAAGUUUGGAGGUCUGCAACUACUGACUCUGCAGAAGGCUUGUGACCUGUGGUUUUAUGUGGCCACUUCAUGGCCGAGUUGCUAUUGUUCCCAUUUAAUCCCACUCACUAACAUUUGACUGUCUAAAAUUGAGUAGCAAGAACAUUUGUAGCCUAUUUUCAUGAGUGGCACAUUAUCACGGUAGCACAUUGAAAUUCACUCAGCCUCCAAGAGCGACCCACUCUUUCACAGAUGUUUGUAGAAGCAGUCUGUAUGCCGAGGUGCUGGCAUUCCUUCAACCUUCCGUCCAUUCAUCCAUCAUCCAUCCUAGAAAUUUGCUAAGUUUAUUUCUUUAAACAAAAAAUGAAAAUGUAAUGUAUUUCUUAAACAUUUUGUUCAUGUUGACAGUUAGUAAAAUCA
Girardinichthys multiradiatus is the source of this 4593-nucleotide long non-coding RNA. RefSeq lists it as uncharacterized. The record is from RefSeq and is a predicted model, not a curated record. The transcript has 3 exons. Lineage: Eukaryota; Metazoa; Chordata; Actinopteri; Cyprinodontiformes; Goodeidae.